AGUUAUUUAUCUUUGUAGGUAAAGUAAAUGUUUUGAAAGCAUUAAAAAAGAGUUCAACUCUCUUAAUAACUU
RNAcentral lists this transfer RNA (72 nucleotides) under Alvinocaris kexueae. RNAcentral describes it as "tRNA-Ser". It matches the Rfam family "tRNA". Rfam says of the family: Transfer RNA (tRNA) molecules are approximately 80 nucleotides in length. Their secondary structure includes four short double-helical elements and three loops (D, anti-codon, and T loops). Lineage: Eukaryota; Metazoa; Arthropoda; Malacostraca; Decapoda; Alvinocarididae. The record is from RNAcentral.